Molecule: small nuclear RNA, 103 nt
Organism: Mastomys coucha (southern multimammate mouse)
Lineage: Eukaryota; Metazoa; Chordata; Mammalia; Rodentia; Muridae
Source: RefSeq, a predicted model, not a curated record
GCACUUUUUGAGCACAUACCCUAAAAUUGGAACAAGGCAGAGAAGAUUAACAAGCUACCUGCACAAGAAUAACAUAAAAUUCUAUAGAGUGUUCCAUAUCUUU